ACAAGCUAAGAGAUACAAAGGGAAACGUGUGACUGCUCUGACAGCAAAAACAAGCAAAUAUCUCCAGAGGGGAUUAAUCCCUCUGCUUCAAAGUAACCAAAGCAAGGGAAGUGGAGCCAGCUUCGCUAGGAACAACACCUGUCUGUCAGACAAGGGGGAACUAAU
This 165-nucleotide long non-coding RNA is filed under the name Meriones unguiculatus (Mongolian gerbil). RNAcentral's name for it is "Non-coding RNA LOC285194 (ENSMUGG00000007218.1)". It matches the Rfam family "Non-coding RNA LOC285194". Rfam says of the family: Deletion of this gene is associated with poor survival of osteosarcoma patients. The record is from RNAcentral. Lineage: Eukaryota; Metazoa; Chordata; Mammalia; Rodentia; Muridae.